GACAGAGGGUGCAAACGUUGUUCGGAAUUACUGGGCGUAAAGCGUGUGUAGGCGGUUUGCUAAGUCGGAUGUGAAAGCCCCGGGCUCAACCCGGGAAGUGCACUCGAAACUGGCAAGCUAGAGUACUGGAGAGGUUGGUGGAAUUCUCGGUGUAGAGGUGAAAUUCGUAGAUAUGCGGAGGAACACCGAUGGCGAAGGCAAUCCCCUGGGCCUGUACUGACGCUCAUGCACGAAAGCGUGGGGAGCAAACAGG
This 253-nucleotide ribosomal RNA is filed under the name uncultured bacterium. RNAcentral's name for it is "partial 16S ribosomal RNA". It matches the Rfam family "Bacterial small subunit ribosomal RNA", at positions 524 to 776 of the family's 1533-position model. The record is from RNAcentral.